Molecule: transfer RNA, 71 nt
Filed under: Marmota monax (woodchuck)
Lineage: Eukaryota; Metazoa; Chordata; Mammalia; Rodentia; Sciuridae
Description: tRNA.Ala
Rfam family: tRNA
About the family: Transfer RNA (tRNA) molecules are approximately 80 nucleotides in length.
Source: RNAcentral
GGGGCUGUAGCUCAGUGGCAGAGCACUUGACUAGCAUGCAUGAGGCACUGAGUUCGAUCCUCAGCACCACA